Molecule: ribosomal RNA, 1170 nt
Filed under: Triticum aestivum (bread wheat)
Lineage: Eukaryota; Viridiplantae; Streptophyta; Magnoliopsida; Poales; Poaceae
Description: partial small subunit ribosomal RNA
Source: RNAcentral
AUGUCGCACCGCAAGUUCGAGCACCCGAGGCACGGUUCCCUCGGCUUCCUCCCCAGGAAGCGCUGCUCUCGCCACCGCGGAAAGGUGAAGGCCUUCCCCAAGGAUGACCAACAGAAGCCUUGCCACCUCACUGCCUUCCUGGGCUACAAGGCUGGAAUGACCCACAUUGUUCGUGAGGUCGAGAAGCCUGGAUCUAAGCUCCACAAGAAGGAAACCUGUGAGGCUGUUACCAUCAUUGAGACCCCUCCUCUGGUCAUUGUUGGUCUUGUGGCCUAUGUGAAGACCCCUUGUGGCCUUCGCACUCUCAACUCUGUCUGGGCUCAGCACCUUAGCGAAGAUGUGAGGAGAAGGUUCUACAAGAACUGGUGCAAGAGCAAGAAGAAGGCGUUCACAAAGUAUGCCCUCAAGUAUGACUGUGAUGCGGGCAAGAAGGAAAUCCAGUUGCAGCUUGAGAAAAUGAAGAAGUAUGCCACUAUUGUCCGUGUUAUUGCCCAUACUCAGAUUAGGAAGAUGAAAGGCUUGAAACAGAAGAAGGCUCACCUCAUGGAGAUCCAGAUUAAUGGUGGCACCAUCGCAGACAAGGUUGACUAUGGCUACAAGUUCUUUGAGAAGGAAGUCCCAGUUGAAGCGGUCUUCCAGAAAGAUGAAAUGGUUGACAUCAUUGGUGUCACCAAGGGUAAGGGGUACGAAGGUGUCGUCACUCGCUGGGGUGUGACCCGCCUUCCCCGCAAGACCCACAGGGGUCUCCGAAAGGUUGCCUGUAUCGGUGCCUGGCAUCCUGCUAGGGUUUCCUACACUGUUGCUCGUGCUGGUCAGAAUGGUUACCACCACCGCACAGAGAUGAACAAAAAGAUUUACAAGAUGGGCAAGUCUGGACAGGAGUCUCACGAGGCCUGCACUGAGUUUGACAGGACUGAGAAGGACAUCACCCCGAUGGGUGGCUUCCCUCACUAUGGUGUGGUGAAGGGUGACUACCUCAUGAUCAAGGGCUGCUGUGUGGGCCCCAAGAAGAGAGUGGUGACCCUCCGCCAGUCCCUGUUGAAGCAGACAUCGCGGUUGGCCCUUGAGGAGAUCAAGCUCAAGUUCAUUGACACCUCAUCCAAGUUCGGGCAUGGCCGGUUCCAGACCACUGACGAGAAGCAGAAGUUCUACGGCAGGCUCAAGGCUUAG